Non-coding RNA from Pantherophis guttatus, 382 nucleotides. NCBI's taxonomy places the organism in Eukaryota, Metazoa, Chordata, Lepidosauria, Squamata, Colubridae. The record is from RefSeq and is a predicted model, not a curated record.
AAACUGGCCCUGAGAUGUUCUUCUGGAGGAAGCAGGGAAAGGAACGAGCAAUUAAACACGCCUUGAAGACUUCCCAGAGAGUGGGGCCACACCUGCUACUACACCUUGGAAGCCACUCACUUCCUAGCCCCCAUCUCUUACCUCAAAAAGGUGCUGAAGAACAUAUCCCAGUCCUCGAACGCUAAAGAUCUGGAUGAGAGGAUACGGCUGAAUCAUCCAUUCCAGGAGAACCUCGAGAAUGUCUUGCGUCAUAAAGAUGUUUCCAACUUCCGGUGAUACAGCAGCUGACGAAGAAGAGUAGAGAUAUGGAGCAUUAGCCAAGCCAAGGACGGGAACUUCCCUGAGAGCCUCUACUAAGAGAUGCCACUUUCAGCCAUUACAG